GUGCUUUCGUGAUAUUUAAUGGAUCGGAUUACAUUUUUUAUUUUUCUCCGAUAUCCGAUCCAGUAAUUUAGGUCAGUAUCGGACCGAUACCGAUACAUAAUAUCAGAUCGGUCCAUCUCUACUUAUCACACUAUAGCAGCUCACACAGAAGCUCUUCACACCUGUUGCAGGACUUUCCAAUUUCCACAGCACCAAUAAGUCCGCCUCAUGUGACUGAUCUUCCAGAAGCUGUUAGGAAACCCUUCAGCAGUGUGAAAAAAAAAAUAGCAGUUACAUACCGUUUCCAAUUGAAUGGAGUCUUUACAAAAAAAGAAAUGCUGCAAGCAAAUACUUACACACUGUUGUUCAGUUAGUCGGAGUUACCUUUUUAUUAGUGUUGUACUGUUCUGAGCACAAUGCUCACAAGGAAAAUUUUGAUAAGCAUGAUGCCAAAAUAAACCAAAACACCCUAAAGUCAUUUUUCAGUUGCUUAAAAUGAUCAUGACAUCCUGAUGUUUUCUUUUUUUUUUAGGUUAAAGAAAAAUAUGAAAAUAGAGUUGACAGUACAUUUAGGCACACUAUUAACACAUACUGUACACAGAUAUGCACAAUUUUCAUUAUCAUAUUCAUAUAUACUGGGGUUAAAAAAAACAUGAGCCUUCCUGUAUGGAGAGGUGUGCAGAAAGUUAAAGGUGAUACCGCCUUCGCCAUCAUAAGGGACACAUUAUUCACCUCCCAGUAAGCGAGGCUCCAGUCCAGUCCAAGCCAUGUUGUCCUGCUCAGCCAAUCAGAGUCCAUCGGGGCAGCUCGGUGCAAGCAAAUCACAGCAGACGAGGAAGUUUCCGUCCAAUGACUGCAGCAGAAUGGGGCGCCGUUUAGUCAAUGGGGGAGUGGGACUCCCACACUUGCUACAGCUUCAAUGCAUGAAAGAAAGAGCAGUUGUUCAAGGCCACCUCUGAAGUAGCUGUCCCCCCGCCACAGUCUAAUAAUCAUCUCUGAUUAUUUCUGCAAGAGUCAGCUGGGGAUAAAUGGGAAAAUAACCCCCUGCACACCGAAAAGAAAAAAAAGAAACAAAUC
This is a long non-coding RNA of Astatotilapia calliptera (eastern happy), 1056 nucleotides long. Lineage: Eukaryota; Metazoa; Chordata; Actinopteri; Cichliformes; Cichlidae. The record is from Ensembl.